RNAcentral lists this ribosomal RNA (301 nucleotides) under uncultured bacterium. Its description in RNAcentral is "partial 16S ribosomal RNA". It matches the Rfam family "Bacterial small subunit ribosomal RNA", at positions 509 to 807 of the family's 1533-position model. The record is from RNAcentral.
CAGUAGCCGCGGGAAUACGAGGGGGGCAAGCGUUGUUCGGAAUUAUUGGGCGUAAAGGGCGCGUAGGCGGUUUGGCAAGUUUGGUGUGAAAUCUUCGGGCUCAACUCGAAGUCUGCACCGAAAACUGCCAAGCUUGAGUAUGGGAGAGGUGAGUGGAAUUUCCGGUGUAGCGGUGAAAUGCGUAGAUAUCGGAAGGAACACCUGUGGCGAAAGCGGCUCACUGGACCAUUACUGACGCUGAGGCGCGAAAGCUAGGGGAGCAAACAGGAUUAGAUACCCCAGUAGUCCCUGUCUCUUAUAC